CCUACGGGAGGCAGCAGUGGGGAAUAUUGCACAAUGGGGGGAACCCUGAUGCAGCGACGCCGCGUGGGUGAAGGAGUAUUUCGGUAUGUAAAGCCCUAUCAGCAGGGAAGAACAAUGACGGUACAUGACUAAGCAGCACCGGCUAAAUACGGGCCAGCAGCCGCCGUAAUACGUAUGGUGCAAGCGUUAUCCGGAUUUACUGGGUGUAAAGGGAGCGCAGGCGGCGCGUUAAGCCUGGUGUGAAAGCUCGGGGCCCAACCGCGGGACUGCAGUUGGAACUGGCGCGCUGGAGUGCCGGAGGGGUAGGCGGAAUGCCUGGUGUAGCGGUGAAAUGCGUAGAUAUUAGGAGGAACACCAGUGGCGAAGGCGGCCUACUGGACGGUGACUGACGCUGAGGCUCGAAAGCGUGGGUAGCGAACAGGAUUAGAUACCCCUGUAGUC
This 441-nucleotide ribosomal RNA is filed under the name uncultured bacterium. Its description in RNAcentral is "partial 16S ribosomal RNA". It matches the Rfam family "Bacterial small subunit ribosomal RNA", at positions 338 to 795 of the family's 1533-position model. The record is from RNAcentral.